Molecule: unclassified non-coding RNA, 364 nt
Filed under: uncultured bacterium
Lineage: Bacteria
Description: contains 16S-23S intergenic spacer region
Source: RNAcentral
UCCCGGUUGGCCCGGGCAGUCUCGCAUGAAAAAUACAACAUACGAUAAGGGUUGCGCUCGUUGCGGGACUUAACCCAACAUCUCACGACACGAGCUGACGACGGCCAUGCAGCACCUGUCACUAGGCUCCCGAAGGCACCCCUCUGUUUCCAGUGGGUUCCUAGGAUGUCAAGCCUUGGUAAGGUUCUACGCGUAGCGUCAUAUUAAACCACAUCAUCCUCUGCUUGUGCGGGUCCCCGUCAAUUCCUUUGAGUUUUAGCCUUGCGGCCGUACUUCCCAGGCGGCAUACUUAUCGCGUUAGCUGCGUCUCACAGGGGGUCGAUACCCCAUAAGACUAGUAUGCAUCGUUUACGGCGUGGACUAC